RNAcentral lists this ribosomal RNA (301 nucleotides) under uncultured bacterium. RNAcentral's name for it is "partial 16S ribosomal RNA". It matches the Rfam family "Bacterial small subunit ribosomal RNA", at positions 509 to 807 of the family's 1533-position model. The record is from RNAcentral.
CAGCAGCCGCGGUAAUACAGAGGGUGCGAGCGUUAAUCGGAUUUACUGGGCGUAAAGCGUGCGUAGGCGGCUUCUUAAGUCGGAUGUGAAAUCCCUGAGCUUAACUUAGGAAUUGCAUUCGAUACUGGGAAGCUAGAGUAUGGGAGAGGAUGGUAGAAUUCCAGGUGUAGCGGUGAAAUGCGUAGAGAUCUGGAGGAAUACCGAUGGCGAAGGCAGCCAUCUGGCCUAAUACUGACGCUAAGGUACGAAAGCAUGGGGAGCAAACAGGAUUAGAUACCCGUGUAGUCCCUGUCUCUUAUAC